CAUGCAAGUCGAGGGGCAGCAUGAUUUGUAGCAAUACAGAUUGAUGGCGACCGGCGCACGGGUGAGUAACGCGUAUGCAACUUACCUAUCAGAGGGGGAUAGCCCGGCGAAAGUCGGAUUAAUACCCCAUAAAACAGGGGUCCCGCAUGGGAAUAUUUGUUAAAGAUUCAUCGCUGAUAGAUAGGCAUGCGUUCCAUUAGGCAGUUGGCGGGGUAACGGCCCACCAAACCGACGAUGGAUAGGGGUUCUGAGAGGAAGGUCCCCCACAUUGGUACUGAGACACGGACCAAACUCCUACGGGAGGCAGCAGUGAGGAAUAUUGGUCAAUGGCCGAGAGGCUGAACCAGCCAAGUCGCGUGAAGGAAGAAGGAUCUAUGGUUUGUAAACUUCUUUUAUAGGGGAAUAAAGUGGAGGACGUGUCCUUUUUUGUAUGUACCCUAUGAAUAAGCAUCGGCUAACUCCGUGCCAGCAGCCGCGGUAAUACGGAGGAUGCGAGCGUUAUCCGGAUUUAUUGGGUUUAAAGGGUGCGUAGGUGGUGAUUUAAGUCAGCGGUGAAAGUUUGUGGCUCAACCAUAAAAUUGCCGUUGAAACUGGGUUACUUGAGUGUGUUUGAGGUAGGCGGAAUGUGUGGUGUAGCGGUGAAAUGCAUAGAUAUCACGCAGAACUCCGAUUGCGAAGGCAGCUUACUAAACCAUAACUGACACUGAAGCACGAAAGCGUGGGGAUCAAACAGGAUUAGAUACCCUGGUAGUCCACGCAGUAAACGAUGAUUACUAGGAGUUUGCGAUACAAUGUAAGCUCUACAGCGAAAGCGUUAAGUAAUCCACCUGGGGAGUACGCCGGCAACGGUGAAACUCAAAGGAAUUGACGGGG
Molecule: ribosomal RNA, 873 nt
Filed under: uncultured bacterium
Lineage: Bacteria
Description: bacterial SSU rRNA
Rfam family: Bacterial small subunit ribosomal RNA
Source: RNAcentral